This 406-nucleotide ribosomal RNA is filed under the name uncultured bacterium. RNAcentral's name for it is "partial 16S ribosomal RNA". It matches the Rfam family "Bacterial small subunit ribosomal RNA", at positions 30 to 526 of the family's 1533-position model. The record is from RNAcentral.
AUUGAACGCUGGCGGCAGGCCUAACACAUGCAAGUCGAACGAGUGGUGGACGGGUGAGUAAUGUCUGGGAAACUGCCCGAUGGAGGGGGAUAACUACCGGAAACGGUAGCUAAUACCGCAUACCAUCGGAUGUGCCCAGAGGGGAUUAGCUAGUAGGUGGGGUAACGGCGCACCUAGGCGCCGAUCCCCAGCUGGUCUGAGAGGAUGACCAGCUACGCUGGCACUGAGAAACUGUCCCGACUCCUACGGGAGGCAGGAGUGGGGAAUAUUGUACAAUGGGCGCAAGCCGGAGGCAGCCAUGCCGCGUGUAUGAAGAAGGCCUUCGGGUUGUAAAGUACUUUCAGCGAGGAGGCGUUACUCGCAGAAGAAGCACCGGCUAACUCCGUGCCAGCAGCCGCGGUAAUUC